UCUCAUAUCUCUCUAUACGGGAGAGAAGCUUCGACUAAGGUUCGAUUCGAGCGUCAGCGAGAAAGCGUUGCCGCAGGCAACGACCCGAAGGGCGA
RNAcentral lists this small RNA (95 nucleotides) under Salmonella enterica. RNAcentral describes it as "partial RtT sRNA". It matches the Rfam family "RtT RNA", at positions 1 to 94 of the family's 130-position model. From Rfam's summary of the family: This family represents a bacterial cis-regulatory element known as RtT RNA. The exact function of RtT is unknown although it is thought that it may be involved in changing the cellular response in relation to amino acid starvation. Lineage: Bacteria; Pseudomonadati; Pseudomonadota; Gammaproteobacteria; Enterobacterales; Enterobacteriaceae. RNAcentral also lists the same sequence under 1 other name. The record is from RNAcentral.